Molecule: non-coding RNA, 892 nt
Organism: Procambarus clarkii (red swamp crayfish)
Lineage: Eukaryota; Metazoa; Arthropoda; Malacostraca; Decapoda; Cambaridae
Source: RefSeq, a predicted model, not a curated record
AUCCUUGCAUUGCAGACAGCAAUAUAUUCUCUUUUUUGGAUUAAUAUAAAUCUUCUAAACCCAUUUCCAUUAAUGCUACUUUUCGUUUUUUUUUCAGCUAAAGAAAAAGCAUUCAAGAAAAGCACAAGGAUGCCUCGAUUUGACAGUGAUUCUUAUCCUGGUCCAGGUGAUGUCAACGACCAAGAAGCAGAUGACAUCACUGUCAUCUACCCUUCCACCUCUUCCUGUUGCUCAGAUAAUUCGUCCCAUGUACCUGAACUGCACCACUUCAUGGCUGUUGGUCUUGAGGAAGGAAAUGGUUGGCAGCGUAAGUUAGUUAUGCACGGUGACCUCUUAUAUUGCUGUUGAACCUUGUACAAAAUCUUUCAUAUAACUUUUUAAUGUUUGCACCCAUAUACCUACCACAAGCACAGUAUUGUCAUUCUGGUAGGCAUAUGGGUGCACUUAUCUAAAAAUAUGGAGCAUAUGAGUACUAUGGAUAUAAAUUACAAUAUCUGUUAUAUUCAAAAAGCACAGUUUUGUACUUUUCGAAUACAAAAAAAAAUGUGGAACAGAGUAUCUAUAAGCCUAGUGUUACCUGUCUUAGACCUGCUUAAGUAUUCUUAGGCAACCAUAUAAUUUAGGCCUUAUUUUGUAAUUAUAUGUAUUGAACAAGACGCUGAAAAAGUUAGCUUUAUAGGAUGUCUUCGUUAUUGGGUCCUCUACAAAACUAUUAUUACAAAAAAGUGGAUUUUUUUUUUGAGGGUGCAACAGUCCAUGUUUUGUGCAUGUAUCCGUAGUGACUAUAGUUAUAAAACUAUAAUUUCUGGAUGAUUGGCUUGUUUAUCGAUGAGUCUGUCUUGUAUCCUCUGACCUUCAGUAAGUCCUUCUUAAAAUACAGAUCAUAAAGUUA